This is a long non-coding RNA of Cyprinus carpio carpio, 822 nucleotides long. The record is from Ensembl. NCBI's taxonomy places the organism in Eukaryota, Metazoa, Chordata, Actinopteri, Cypriniformes, Cyprinidae.
GCGCCGUAGAGCGAAAAAAGCAGCAGAGCAAUUUUGUUCGGGCUAACCCAAGGAUUGCAACGAUGCCAUGUUUUUGAGUCUACGACAAACGGUUUACGAGCUACAGCCAAAAAUGUCUAAAAUUUUUGUUUUUUGCGCUGUAGCGCCCCCGUUUGGCCGAUUGGGGCGAGACUUUGAUAGGUUCUCCCCAAAUUGAGCUCUACAAUCUGGCCAAAUUUCAAGUCUCUAGGCCUUACGGUUUGGUCUGCACGAUCAGUUUUAGGGCAGAAGAAUAAUAAUAAUAAUAAUAAUAAUAAUAAUAAUAAUAAUAAUCCUAACAAUUACAAGAGGGUUUCAGCACUGCGUGCUUGAACCCCUAAAUAUAGCUGCAAGCAGCAAUUACCGGGGUUCAAGCACUUUAAGACCUUUGGGGUGGUCUUGGCCAACCUGGAUGUAUGGCUGACAGUUAAACACAUCCAAAAUGGAGAAUAGGCUCACAGACACACAACACACACUGAAAUUAAAUGAUUAAACUUGUAUAUUAAUGCUCUAUAAGCAUAUUCACAUAGACACACAUACACACAAAUACACACACAUACACAGAUAUACAUGCACACACAUUUUGAUAUUUGAAAUAAGUGAUAGGUGAUACAAAACUUAUUGCAAGUCUUUUCUUUUAAGAGUUUAGAUGUCAUUUUCAGGUUUCACUCUAAUCAUAAUCUGACAAAAUUGUAAAAACUGAUAUUUCUGUAUGAACAAAAUCGUUAACUUUGACUCAAUGAGAUUUAAAAUAUUAUAACAGUGAUAUUAUAAUGUUUAAGCAUGAAUCCAUCAAACCUUUGA